RNAcentral lists this ribosomal RNA (460 nucleotides) under uncultured bacterium. Its description in RNAcentral is "partial 16S ribosomal RNA". It matches the Rfam family "Bacterial small subunit ribosomal RNA", at positions 338 to 795 of the family's 1533-position model. The record is from RNAcentral.
CCUACGGGUGGCAGCAGUGAGGAAUAUUGGUCAAUGGACGAGAGUCUGAACCAGCCAAGUAGCGUGAAGGAUGACUGCACUAUGGGUUGUAAACUUCUUUUAUCUGGGAAUAAAAUGUUCCACGUGUGGGAUUUUGUAUGUACCAUAUGAAUAAGAAUCGGCUAACUCCGUGCCAGCAGCCGCGGUAAUACGGAGGAUCCGAGCAUUAGCCGGAUUUAUUGGGUUUAAGGGGAGCGUAGGUGGAUUGUUAAGUCAGUUGUGAAAGUUUGCGGCUCAACCGUAAAAUUGCAGUUGAAACUGGCAGUCUUGAGUACAGUAGAGGUGGGCGGAAUUCGUGGUGUAGCGGUGAAAUGCUUAGAUAUCACGAAGAACUCCGAUUGCGAAGGCAGUUCACUGGACUGCAACUGACACUGAGGCUCGAAAGUGUGGGUAUCAAACAGGAUUAGAUACCCUUGUAGUC